CCCUUAGAUGUUCUGGGCCGCACGCGCGCUACACUGAUGCAUUCAACGAGUCUAAAACCUGGUCUGAUAGGGCUGGGUAAUCUUUUGAAAGUGCAUCGUGAUUGGGAUAGAUGAUUGCAAUUCUUCAUCUUCAACGAGGAAUGCCUAGUAAACGCAAGUCAUCAGCUUGCAUUGAUUACGUCCCUGCCCUUUGUACACACCGCCCGUCGCUCCUACCGAUUGAAUGAUCCGAUGAAUACCAUGGAUUGAGAGUACGAAUGGAUUCGCUCAUUUCUGCUGCUCGAGAAGUGGAGUAAAUCUUAUCAUUUAGAGGAAGGAGAAGUCGUAACA
This 330-nucleotide ribosomal RNA is filed under the name uncultured eukaryote. Its description in RNAcentral is "partial 18S ribosomal RNA". It matches the Rfam family "Eukaryotic small subunit ribosomal RNA", at positions 1470 to 1796 of the family's 1831-position model. The record is from RNAcentral.